RNAcentral lists this long non-coding RNA (322 nucleotides) under Athene cunicularia (burrowing owl). RNAcentral's name for it is "lncRNA (ENSACUG00000005117.1)". The record is from RNAcentral. Lineage: Eukaryota; Metazoa; Chordata; Aves; Strigiformes; Strigidae.
GGUAACGGUCCUUCUGAAAUUCAGUCAUCUUCUUUCCUGCCCCUUUUUUACAGGUUACUUGGAGUCACAACAGCCAGCACAGCAUUUCCACGGGACCCGCUCCAGCACACAGAGAGAAGGGCAGAGCCUCCCAGACCUCAGCACAGCUUUGGUGCCACAGGAGAGGAGUCCUUGGGGUGGCGAUCUCCCAGCCUUUAUAUAUAAUAAAGUAGUGCCCUCUGUUGGGAAGCUUUCCAGACAAAACCUGGUCUCAUGGCUGCAUCCAGUGUCUGAGGCAUCCUAUGGCCUCAUAACCUCAGAUGGUGGAGAGAUGACUGUAUAA